Molecule: ribosomal RNA, 566 nt
Filed under: Nannocampus pictus
Lineage: Eukaryota; Metazoa; Chordata; Actinopteri; Syngnathiformes; Syngnathidae
Description: partial 16S ribosomal RNA
Rfam family: Bacterial large subunit ribosomal RNA
Source: RNAcentral
CGCCUCUUGCUUACUAAGUGUAAGAGGUCCCGCCUGCCCUGUGACUAUGUGUUUAACGGCCGCGGUAUUUUAACCGUGCGAAGGUAGCGCAAUCACUUGUCUUUUAAAUAAAGACCUGUAUGAAUGGCACAACGAGGGCUUAACUGUCUCCUUCCCUUAAUCAAUGAAAUUUAUCUUCCCGUGCAGAGGCGGGAAUAACUACACAAGACGAGAAGACCCUAUGGAGCUUUAAAUACAUAAAAGAAUAACAUCCCUAACCCUGAUUAAUGGGCAAAAUUGAGUUAACAUCUGAUAUAUAUUUUUGGUUGGGGCGACCGCGGAGUAAAAACUAACCCCCGUGAGGAGUGGGUUUAACCUAGAACUAAGAAUAACUAUUCUAAGUACCAAAAGAUUUGACCUGUAGAUCCGGCAAAGCCGAUCAACGAACCGAGUUACCCUAGGGAUAACAGCGCAAUCCCCUCCAAGAGUCCCUAUCGACGAGGGGGUUUACGACCUCGAUGUUGGAUCAGGACAUCCUAAUGGUGCAACCGCUAUUAAGGGUUCGUUUGUUCAACGAUUAAAGUCCU